AAUGAAGAGCCUGAUUAAAGGAUUAUCGUGAUAGGAUAAAACAUGUAGCCAAAACCUACCCUCAUUA
Molecule: transfer RNA, 67 nt
Filed under: Macrotermes annandalei
Lineage: Eukaryota; Metazoa; Arthropoda; Insecta; Blattodea; Termitidae
Description: tRNA-Ile
Source: RNAcentral